This 273-nucleotide ribosomal RNA is filed under the name uncultured bacterium. RNAcentral's name for it is "partial small subunit ribosomal RNA". It matches the Rfam family "Bacterial small subunit ribosomal RNA", at positions 26 to 287 of the family's 1533-position model. The record is from RNAcentral.
AGGACGAACGCUGGCGGCGUGCUUAACACAUGCAAGUCGAGGGCACUUUGGGGGCAACUCUGGAGUGACCGGCGAACGGGUGCGUAACACGUGAGCGACCUUGCCUCGUGGUGGGGGAUAGCCGGCCCAACGGCCGGGUAAUACCGCAUAUGGUAGUUUCUUCGCAUGGGGAGACUAGCAAAGCCUUGGAGCAAUCCAAUGGCGCCACAGGGGGGGCUCGCGGCCUAUCAGCUAGUUGGGGGGUAAUGGCCCACCAAGGCGACGACGGGUAGC